UUAAGUUAGAAAGGGCGCACGGUGGAUGCCUUGACACUAGGAGUCGAUGAAGGACGGGACUAACGCCGAUAUGCUUCGGGGAGCUGUAAGUAAGCUUUGAUCCGAAGAUUUCCGAAUGGGGAAACCCACCAUACGUAAUGGUAUGGUAUCCUUAUCUGAAUACAUAGGGUAAGGAAGACAGACCCAGGGAACUGAAACAUCUAAGUACCUGGAGGAAGAGAAAGCAAAUGCGAUUUCCUGAGUAGCGGCGAGCGAAACGGAACAUAGCCCAAACCAAGAGGCUUGCCUCUUGGGGUUGUAGGACAUUCUAUACGGAGUUACAAAGGAACGAGGUAGACGAAGCGACCUGGAAAGGUCCGUCGUAGAGGGUAACAACCCCGUAGUCGAAACUUCGUUCUCUCUUGAAUGUAUCCUGAGUACGGCGGAACACGUGAAAUUCCGUCGGAAUCUGGGAGGACCAUCUCCCAAGGCUAAAUACUCCCUAGUGAUCGAUAGUGAACCAGUACCGUGAGGGAAAGGUGAAAAGCACCCCGGAAGGGGAGUGAAAGAGAUCCUGAAACCGUGUGCCUACAAAUAGUCAGAGCCCGUUAACGGGUGAUGGCGUGCCUUUUGUAGAAUGAACCGGCGAGUUACGAUCCCGUGCGAGGUUAAGCUGAAGAGGCGGAGCCGCAGCGAAAGCGAGUCUGAAUAGGGCGUUUAGUACGUGGUCGUAGACCCGAAACCAGGUGAUCUACCCAUGUCCAGGGUGAAGUUCAGGUAACACUGAAUGGAGGCCCGAACCCACGCACGUUGAAAAGUGCGGGGAUGAGGUGUGGGUAGCGGAGAAAUUCCAAUCGAACCUGGAGAUAGCUGGUUCUCCCCGAAAUAGCUUUAGGGCUAGCCUUAAGUGUAAGAGUCUUGGAGGUAGAGCACUGAUUGGACUAGGGGUCCUCAUCGGAUUACCGAAUUCAGUCAAACUCCGAAUGCCAAUGACUUAUCCUUAGGAGUCAGACUGCGAGUGAUAAGAUCCGUAGUCAAAAGGGAAACAGCCCAGACCGCCAGCUAAGGUCCCAAAGUGUGUAUUAAGUGGAAAAGGAUGUGGAGUUGCUUAGACAACUAGGAUGUUGGCUUAGAAGCAGCCACCAUUUAAAGAGUGCGUAAUAGCUCACUAGUCGAGUGACUCUGCGCCGAAAAUGUACCGGGGCUAAAUACACCACCGAAGCUGCGGAUUGAUACCAAUGGUAUCAGUGGUAGGGGAGCGUUCUAAGGACAGUGAAGUCAGACCGGAAGGACUGGUGGAGUGCUUAGAAGUGAGAAUGCCGGUAUGAGUAGCGAAAGACGGGUGAGAAUCCCGUCCACCGAAUGCCUAAGGUUUCCUGAGGAAGGCUCGUCCGCUCAGGGUUAGUCAGGACCUAAGCCGAGGCCGACAGGCGUAGGCGAUGGACAACAGGUUGAUAUUCCUGUACCACCUCUUUAUCGUUUGAGCAAUGGAGGGACGCAGAAGGAUAGAAGAAGCGUGCGAUUGGUUGUGCACGUCCAAGCAGUUAGGCUGAUAAGUAGGCAAAUCCGCUUAUCGUAAAGGCUGAGCUGUGAUGGGGAAGCUCCUUAUGGAGCGAAGUCUUUGAUUCCCCGCUGCCAAGAAAAGCUUCUAGCGAGAUAAAAGGUGCCUGUACCGCAAACCGACACAGGUAGGCGAGGAGAGAAUCCUAAGGUGUGCGAGAGAACUCUGGUUAAGGAACUCGGCAAAAUGACCCCGUAACUUCGGGAGAAGGGGUGCUUUCUUAACGGAAAGCCGCAGUGAAUAGGCCCAAGCGACUGUUUAGCAAAAACACAGCUCUCUGCGAAGCCGUAAGGCGAAGUAUAGGGGGUGACACCUGCCCGGUGCUGGAAGGUUAAGGAGAGGGGUUAGCGUAAGCGAAGCUCUGAACUGAAGCCCCAGUAAACGGCGGCCGUAACUAUAACGGUCCUAAGGUAGCGAAAUUCCUUGUCGGGUAAGUUCCGACCCGCACGAAAGGUGUAACGAUUUGGGCACUGUCUCAACCAGAGACUCGGUGAAAUUAUAGUACCUGUGAAGAUGCAGGUUACCCGCGACAGGACGGAAAGACCCCGUGGAGCUUUACUGUAGCCUGAUAUUGAAUUUUGGUACAGUUUGUACAGGAUAGGCGGGAGCCAUUGAAAC
RNAcentral lists this ribosomal RNA (2158 nucleotides) under Streptococcus pneumoniae. RNAcentral's name for it is "bacterial LSU rRNA". It matches the Rfam family "Bacterial large subunit ribosomal RNA", at positions 3 to 2163 of the family's 2925-position model. The record is from RNAcentral. Lineage: Bacteria; Bacillati; Bacillota; Bacilli; Lactobacillales; Streptococcaceae.